Molecule: long non-coding RNA, 651 nt
Filed under: Parus major (Great Tit)
Lineage: Eukaryota; Metazoa; Chordata; Aves; Passeriformes; Paridae
Description: lncRNA (ENSPMJG00000016406.1)
Source: RNAcentral
CUGUAACUCUCUUUGGAUGGAAUGCUAGUUCAAGCACCUGUAGAAACCCGUGACUGACACAUAAUUUGUUUUCUGGUAAAGGAACAGCUUACCUUUUCAAAAGAGACCUCAGAUCAUUUUGUUUGAACCUCUACACCAUCUUCCUUUCAGGCACGAAAUUGCAAGAGAGACAUUUCUUCACACUUCUAGCUAUCAGAAGGAGUGGAACUGGAAAUAUCUAAGCUGAGGAACUUUUCCCUGCUGUGAGUCAAAUAAUUUAGCAUCCUCACAGAGGCAGGUGGAUGUUUUACCGUGAAUCACAGCCCAGCUCCAGAGGACAGUUCUCUGUGAUCUACCCACUAAUGACCUCUGAGAAAUCAACCUCUGGCCCACAUGUCUCUGCAGAGAAUCAGAUAUACUGCUGUGGGAAACGAAUACUGGCAUCAGAAGAAGCAGGAAACCAUAUACUGAGAAAGUAACACUACUGUUGAAAUCAAAGUCUCCCGGAAGGUGUUCUCAAGACGCAUUCCUAAUAAUACCCCUAAUUAUAAUUAUAGGCCUACCUAGACUACCUUUCAAUCAAGAUUUCGGGUGCUCAUGGUGAUGAAUAAGGAAGAUCUUGUACAGAAGUUAUCUGGUUCUCAGCAGUCUGGAUUUUAGACAAGGUUUGAC